ACGCCUUAUACAUGCAAGUCGAACGAAGUAGCAAUACUUAGUGGCAGACGGGUGAGUAACAUGUGGGUAUCUUCCCUUUGGUGAGGAAUAACACGAGGAAACUUGUGCUAAUACCUCAUAAGUCUUUACGGAGAAAGCUUUAUGCGCCAUUGGAUGAGCCUGCACUUGAUUAGUUAGUUGGUGGGGUAAAGGCCUACCAAGACUUUGAUCAAUAGCUGAUUUGAGAGGAUGAUCAGCCACAUUGGGACUGAGACACGGCCCAAACUCCUACGGGAGGCAGCAGUAAGGAAUCUUGCACAAUGGAGGAAACUCUGAUGCAGCGAUGCCGCGUGAGUGAAGAAGGCCUUUGGGUUGUAAAGCUCUUUCGUCGGGGAAGAAAAUGACUGUACCCGAAUAAGAAGGUCCGGCUAACUUCGUGCCAGCAGCCGCGGUAAUACGAAGGGACCUAGCGUAGUUCGGAAUUACUGGGCUUAAAGAGUUCGUAGGUGGUUAAAAAAGUUGGUGGUGAAAUCCCAGAGCUUAACUCUGGAACUGCCAUCAAAACUUUUUAGCUAGAGUUUGAUAGAGGAAAGCAGAAUUUCUAGUGUAGAGGUGAAAUUCGUAGAUAUUAGAAAGAAUACCAAUUGCGAAGGCAGCUUUCUGGAUCAUUACUGACACUGAGGAACGAAAGCAUGGGUAGCGAAGAGGAUUAGAUACCCUCGUAGUCCAUGCCGUAAACGAUGUGUGUUAGACGUUGGAAAUUUAUUUUCAGUGUCGCAGCGAAAGCGAUAAACACACCGCCUGGGGAGUACGACC
RNAcentral lists this ribosomal RNA (795 nucleotides) under uncultured Pelagibacteraceae bacterium. RNAcentral describes it as "bacterial SSU rRNA". It matches the Rfam family "Bacterial small subunit ribosomal RNA", at positions 44 to 887 of the family's 1533-position model. The record is from RNAcentral. Lineage: Bacteria; Pseudomonadati; Pseudomonadota; Alphaproteobacteria; Candidatus Pelagibacterales; Candidatus Pelagibacteraceae.